CCCUAAUUCGAGAUUAGCCGGUGAAAAUGAGACAAUCCGCGCUACCUGGGAGGAGUUCAGGACACGGAAACAAACGUGUUCGGUCGGGGUUAAAGUGCUGUAUCGUUUGGAAACUGAAUGGAAAUUCCCCCACCUGAGGAAGCUCCUGGGUCCCAUCUGGGGGGUCCUAAGUAGGCUUGGGAAAAAGCUAUUUUCCUGAAGACUGCACCCCCACGCUGAGUCUCUUCCGCUCCAGCCUUCUGGCACUCUCCCCAGAUGACCUAACCCUCAACCCCUUCCUUCAAAAUGCUGUGGACUCUGACCUGGCCAUGCCGAACGUCGCUCAUGUCAAACCACAGGUCCUGCGUUCGCUGGUCCUCAGGGCCAAAGCUUCGCCAUGUGUAGUACUUGCUAGAGGCCUCCUUAAAGGCAG
Girardinichthys multiradiatus is the source of this 412-nucleotide long non-coding RNA. RefSeq lists it as uncharacterized. The transcript is spliced from 3 exons. NCBI's taxonomy places the organism in Eukaryota, Metazoa, Chordata, Actinopteri, Cyprinodontiformes, Goodeidae. The record is from RefSeq and is a predicted model, not a curated record.